CGGUAGCUAAUACCGCGUAAUGUCUUAGGACUAAAGGGUGGGACCAUUUGGCCACCUGCCAUAAGAUGAGCCCAAGUGGGAUUAGGUAGUUGGUGAGGUAAAGGCUCACCAAGCCCGCGAUCUCUAGCUGGUCUGAGAGGAUGACCAGCCACACUGGAACUGAGACACGGUCCAGACUCCUACGGGAGGCAGCAGUGGGGAAUAUUGCACAAUGGGGGGAACCCUGAUGCAGCCAUGCCGCGUGAAUGAAGAAGGCCUUCGGGUUGUAAAGUUCUUUCGGUGACGAGGAAGGCGAUUGUUUUAAUAGAACAGUCGAUUGACGUUAAUCACAGAAGAAGCACCGGCUAACUCCGUGCCAGCAGCCGCGGUAAUACGGGGGGUGCGAGCGUUAAUCGGAAUAACUGGGCGUAAAGGGCACGCAGGCGGUUGUUUAAGUGAGGUGUGAAAGCCCCGGGCUUAACCUGGGAAUUGCAUUUCAGACUGGACAACUAGAGUACUUUAGGGAGGGGUAGAAUUCCACGUGUAGCGGUGAAAUGCGUAGAGAUGUGGAGGAAUACCGAAGGCGAAGGCAGCCCCUUGGGAAUGUACUGACGCUCAUGUGCGAAAGCGUGGGGAGCAAACAGGAUUAGAUACCCUGGUAGUCCACGCCGUAAACGCUGUCGAUUUGGGGAUUGGGGUUUAACUCUGGUGCCCGUAGCUAACGUGAUAAAUCGACCGCCUGGGGAGUACGGCCGCAAGGUUAAAACUCAAAUGAAUUGACGGGGGCCCGCACAAGCGGUGGAGCAUGUGGUUUAAUUC
This 798-nucleotide ribosomal RNA is filed under the name Mannheimia haemolytica. RNAcentral describes it as "bacterial SSU rRNA". It matches the Rfam family "Bacterial small subunit ribosomal RNA", at positions 157 to 952 of the family's 1533-position model. Lineage: Bacteria; Pseudomonadati; Pseudomonadota; Gammaproteobacteria; Pasteurellales; Pasteurellaceae. The record is from RNAcentral.